GACAGAGGUGUCAAGCGUUGCUCGGAAUUACUGGGCGUAAAGCGCGUUUCGGUGGUUCGUUAAGUCAUGCGUGAAAUCUCUUGGCCUAACCAAGAAACUGCGCGUGAUACUGGCGGACUAGAGGAUGGGAGAGGAUAGCGGAAUUCCUGGUGUAGCGGUGAAAAUGCGUAGAUAUCAGGAGGAACACCUGUGGCGAAGGCGGCUAUCUGGUCCAUUUCUGACACUUACACGCG
RNAcentral lists this ribosomal RNA (233 nucleotides) under uncultured bacterium. Its description in RNAcentral is "partial 16S ribosomal RNA". It matches the Rfam family "Bacterial small subunit ribosomal RNA", at positions 524 to 755 of the family's 1533-position model. The record is from RNAcentral.